AGUGAACGCUGGCGGUAGACCUAACACAUGCAAGUCGAACGGCAGCACAGUAAGAGCUUGCUCUUACGGGUGGCGAGUGGCGGACGGGUGAGGAAUACAUCGGAAUCUACUUUUUCGUGGGGGAUAACGUAGGGAAACUUACGCUAAUACCGCAUACGACCUACGGGUGAAAGCAGGGGAUCUUCGGACCUUGCGCGAUUGAAUGAGCCGAUGUCGGAUUAGCUAGUUGGCGGGGUAAAGGCCCACCAAGGCGACGAUCCGUAGCUGGUCUGAGAGGAUGAUCAGCCACACUGGAACUGAGACACGGUCCAGACUCCUACGGGAGGCAGCAGUGGGGAAUAUUGGACAGUGGGCGCAAGCCUGAUCCAGCCAUACCGCGUGGGUGAAGAAGGCCUUCGGGUUGUAAAGCCCUUUUGUUGGGAAAGAAAAGCAGCAGGUUAAUACCCCGCUGUUCUGACGGUACCCAAAGAAUAAGCACCGGCUAACUUCGU
This 491-nucleotide ribosomal RNA is filed under the name uncultured bacterium. RNAcentral's name for it is "partial 16S ribosomal RNA". It matches the Rfam family "Bacterial small subunit ribosomal RNA", at positions 29 to 506 of the family's 1533-position model. The record is from RNAcentral.